RNAcentral lists this long non-coding RNA (493 nucleotides) under Homo sapiens (human). Its description in RNAcentral is "HSALNT0049842". The record is from RNAcentral. Lineage: Eukaryota; Metazoa; Chordata; Mammalia; Primates; Hominidae.
GAGGACCCUGGCCAGGGCUCAGGGCCUGCCUCUGUCUUUCCCACAGUCCUGCCCACUGGAGUCAUCCAGCGAGGUGGGAGGGGGCCGCUCACGGGUGGUUCUGUGGGAGCCCUGAAGCCAGGAGCAGCCACUGGGGAGCUUGGCCCCACCGGAGGGGUCUUUGGGAGCAUUGAGGGGAGCUUGCUGGCUCUGUCCUGCAGUUGCCCAGCCCCGGCAGCUCUUCAGGGGUGGCAUGAGUUGCAGAAUGCCCUACCCUGGGCCCUGGUGGGUGUCACAGCAGGGCCUGGCUCCAGGGGCUUUUCAGCCUGGUAUAAGGAAGGGGGCGGCCUCCAGCCACCCAAGGCACUUGGGCUUGGGGGCCAUGGUGGUGCUGGUGUUUAUCACAACAAACAGGACGGCCUGGACACUGACCCUCAGACCCAGGGACGCGCGGAUGGAUGGACAGCAGGUGUUCUUCCCAGAGACCCCCGGGGGGUGCCGCCGUGGGCGGGAG